This 621-nucleotide ribosomal RNA is filed under the name Triticum aestivum (bread wheat). Its description in RNAcentral is "partial small subunit ribosomal RNA". The record is from RNAcentral. Lineage: Eukaryota; Viridiplantae; Streptophyta; Magnoliopsida; Poales; Poaceae.
AUGGCGGCGUCUGGAUUCGGAGGCGGCGAGGCGUUCCGGCUGUCGGCUGCGGCGGGGGCCGGCGCGCUGAAGCUGCACAAGGGCGACAUCACCCUAUGGUCCGUCGACGGCGCCACCGACGCCAUCGUCAAUGCUGCUAAUGAACGAAUGCUAGGAGGGGGAGGUGUUGAUGGAGUCGAAACCCCUAUGUCAGCUAUACAUCAAGCUGCUGGACCACAGCUUGUGCAAGCAUGCCGUGAAGUUCCAGAGGUUAAACCUGGAGUCCGUUGCCCUACUGGAGAAGCUAGAAUUACUCCAGCUUUUGAGCUUCCCGUGUCCCGUGUGAUCCAUACAGUUGGGCCCAUAUAUGAUAUGGACAGGAAGCCUGAGGUGUCACUAAAGAAUGCAUACGAAAAUAGCUUAAAGGUUGCUAAAGAGAAUGGCAUUCAGUACGUUGCAUUCCCUGCUAUAUCUUGUGGUAUUUUCCGUUACCCUCCAAAGGAAGCAUCAAAUAUAGCUAUUUCAGCUGCUCAACAAUUUUCAGCGGAUAUUAAAGAGGUGCAUUUUGUUCUGUUCUCGGAUGAGCUCUACAAAGUUUGGCGUGAGACUGCCCAGGAGAUGCUGACGCAGUUUGAGAAAUGA